This 439-nucleotide ribosomal RNA is filed under the name uncultured bacterium. Its description in RNAcentral is "partial 16S ribosomal RNA". It matches the Rfam family "Bacterial small subunit ribosomal RNA", at positions 339 to 795 of the family's 1533-position model. The record is from RNAcentral.
CUACGGGGCGCAGCAGUGGGGAAUAUUGCACAAUGGGGGAAACCCUGAUGCAGCAACGCCGCGUGGAGGAUGACACAUUUCGGUGCGUAAACUCCUUUUAUAUGAGAAGAUAAUGACGGUAUCAUAUGAAUAAGCUCCGGCUAACUCCGUGCCAGCAGCCGCGGUAAUACGGGGGGAGCAAGCGUUACUCGGAAUUACUGGGCGUAAAGCGCAUGUAGGCGGAUAGAAAAGUCAGAAGUGAAAUCCUAUAGCUUAACUAUAGAACUGCUUCUGAAACUCUCUAUCUAGAAUGUGGGAGAGGUAGAUGGAAUUUCUGGUGUAGGGGUAAAAUCCGUAGAGAUCAGAAGGAAUACCGAUUGCGAAGGCGAUCUACUGGAACAAUAUUGACGCUGAGAUGCGAAAGCGUGGGGAGCAAACAGGAUUAGAUACCCUAGUAGUC